Molecule: ribosomal RNA, 662 nt
Filed under: uncultured prokaryote
Description: bacterial SSU rRNA
Rfam family: Bacterial small subunit ribosomal RNA
Source: RNAcentral
GAUGAACGCUGACAGAAUGCUUAACACAUGCAAGUCGAUUCAAGUUACCUUCGGGUAAUGAGGAUGGCGGACGGGUGAGUAACGCGUAAGGAACUUGCCUCUUGGUCUGGGACAACUGUUGGAAACGACAGCUAAUACCGGAUAUUAUGAGAUUCUCGCAUGGGAAACUUAUGAAAGCUAUAUGCGCCAAGAGAGAGCCUUGCGUUCCAUUAGCUAGUUGGUGGGGUAAUGGCCCACCAAGGCGACGAUGGAUAGCCGGCCUGAGAGGGUGAACGGCCACAAGGGGACUGAGACACGGCCCUUACUCCUACGGGAGGCAGCAGUGGGGAAUAUUGGACAAUGGGCCACAAGCCUGAUCCAGCAAUUCUGUGUGCACGAUGAAGGUCUUCGGAUUGUAAAGUGCUUUCAGUUGGGAAGAAGAAAGUGACGGUACCAACAGAAGAAGCGACGGCUAAAUACGUGCCAGCAGCCGCGGUAAUACGUAUGUCGCAAGCGUUAUCCGGAUUUAUUGGGCGUAAAGCGCGUCUAGGCGGAAAAAUAAGUCUGAUGUUAAAAUGCGGGGCUCAACUCCGUANUGCGUUGGAAACUGUUUUUCUAGAGUACUGGAGAGGUGGGCGGAACUGCAAGUGUAGAGGUGAAAUUCGUAGAUAUUUGUAGGAAUG